UACAGAGGGUGCGAGCGUUAUUCGGAAUUACUGGGCGUAAAGCGUGCGUAGGCGGUUAUUUAAGUCGGGUGUGAAAGCCCCGGGCUCAACCUGGGAAUUGCAUUCGAGACUGAAUAGCUAGGGUACGGUAGAGGGAAGUGGAAUUUCCGGUGUAGCGGUGAAAUGCGUAGAUAUCGGAAGGAACAUCAGUGGCGAAAGCGACUUCCUGGACCAGUACCGACGUUCAGGCACGAAAGCGUGGGGAGCAAACAGG
This 253-nucleotide ribosomal RNA is filed under the name uncultured bacterium. RNAcentral's name for it is "partial 16S ribosomal RNA". It matches the Rfam family "Bacterial small subunit ribosomal RNA", at positions 524 to 776 of the family's 1533-position model. The record is from RNAcentral.